Molecule: ribosomal RNA, 449 nt
Filed under: uncultured bacterium
Lineage: Bacteria
Description: bacterial SSU rRNA
Rfam family: Bacterial small subunit ribosomal RNA
Source: RNAcentral
GCUAAGAAUAUUCCGCAAUGGACGAAAGUCUGACGGAGCGACGCCGCGUGGAUGACGAAGGCCGAAAGGUUGUAAAAUCCUUUUGCUGGUGAAGAAUAAGUCUGGGAGGAAAUGCCCGGAUGAUGACAUGAACCGGUGAAUAAGCCCCGGCAAACUACGUGCCAGCAGCCGCGGUAACACGUAGGGGGCGAGCGUUGUUCGGAAUUAUUGGGCGUAAAGGGCAUGUAGGCGGUCAUGUAAGUCUGGCGUGAAAUGGUUCGGCUUAACCGAAUCCUGCGUCGGAAACUGCGAGACUAGAAUCACUGAGGGGGAAUCAGAAUUCCAGGUGUAGGGGUGAAAUCUGUAGAUAUCUGGAAGAAUACCGGUGGCGAAGGCGGAUUCCUGGCAGAUGAUUGACGCUGAGGUGCGAAAGUGCGGGGAGCAAACAGGAUUAGAAACCCUAGUAGUCC